AUCGCUGCCGUUGCUGCUUAUUAUUAUUAUUAUCAUUACUGCCAGCCCCAUUGCCGAGAGAUGUCAAUGUGCUGAGGGCGCUCUUCCUCCCAACUCACUGAUAUUCCGGAGGGGCGGGGGGAGAGAAGAGAAAGAGGAAAAACGGAGUGUGCGAGAUGAAGAAGCCUCCUCUGGCCGCGGGGAGAGCAGCGCCGGGGGUUUUCCCCUGGCAAGCCUGACCUUUCAAAUUUGGGGGGGGAGGGCACCGGCGGCGGCGCUGGUGGGCGGGGGGAGAGAGAGCUUCAAAUCGCUUUCUCUGGAGCAGCGUCGGCGGCGAGGCGAGCAGUCUCCUGGCAGUGGGAUGUUCUCAACUUGGUGUUCAUGCCAGCGUCUUUGGCUUGGAUGUAUCAUCGAAACAGUUCCGGUCUCUACUACAGUGUGCUAACUAAUAACUAAAUAAAGAAUGAGGAGAUUUGUUUACUGCAAGGUGGUUCUUGCCACUUCUCUGAUGUGGGUACUUGUGGAUGUCUUUCUGCUCUUGUACUUCAGUGAAUGUAACAAAUGUGAUGACAAGAAAGAGAGGUCCCUGCUGCCUGCUCUAAGGGCUGUUAUGUCAAGAAGCCAAGAAGGACCUGGAGAGAUGGGAAAGGCCGUGCUCAUCCCCAAGGAUGAUCAGGAGAAAAUGAAGGAACUGUUUAAAAUCAACCAGUUUAAUCUUAUGGCCAGUGACUUGAUUGCAUUCAACAGAAGUUUACCUGACGUCAGACUAGAGGGAUGCAAGACAAAAGUCUACCCUGAUGAACUACCAAACACAAGUGUGGUCAUAGUAUUUCAUAAUGAAGCCUGGAGCACUUUGCUUCGAACUAUUUACAGUGUUAUGAAUCGGUCUCCACACUAUCUACUUUCAGAGAUUAUCUUGGUAGAUGACGCCAGUGAAAGAGAUUUUCUGAAGGCUCCAUUAGAGAAUUAUGUGAAAAAUUUGCAAGUGCCAGUAAAAAUUAUUAGAAUGGAACAGCGGUCAGGACUGAUUCGAGCUCGGCUUAGAGGAGCAGCAGCUUCCAAGGGCCGGGUCAUAACUUUCCUGGAUGCACACUGUGAAUGCACUUUAGGCUGGCUGGAGCCCCUGCUGGCAAGAAUAAAGGAAGACAGGAAGAUUGUUGUUUGUCCAAUUAUUGAUGUGAUCAGUGAUGACACUUUUGAAUAUAUGGCUGGGUCAGACAUGACUUAUGGAGGUUUUAACUGGAAACUUAAUUUCCGUUGGUAUCCUGUACCCCAGAGGGAAAUGGACAGAAGGAAAGGAGACAGAACAUUGCCUGUAAGGACCCCUACUAUGGCUGGUGGCCUAUUUUCUAUUGACAGAAACUACUUUGAAGAGAUAGGAACUUACGAUGCAGGAAUGGAUAUCUGGGGUGGAGAGAAUCUUGAAAUGUCUUUUAGGAUCUGGCAAUGUGGAGGCUCUCUAGAGAUUGUAACAUGCUCACAUGUUGGCCAUGUUUUUCGAAAAGCUACACCAUACACCUUUCCUGGUGGUACUGGUCAUGUAAUUAACAAGAAUAAUAGAAGACUUGCAGAAGUAUGGAUGGAUGAAUUUAAAGAUUUCUUCUAUAUAAUAUCCCCAGGAGUUGUCAAAGUGGAUUAUGGAGAUGUCUCAGUAAGAAAAGCACUGCGAGAUAACCUCAAAUGUAAACCAUUUUCAUGGUACCUAGAAAAUAUCUAUCCAGACUCCCAGAUUCCAAGAAGAUAUUACUCACUUGGAGAGACCAUAAAUGAUACUCCCACUAUCAGAAAUGUUGAGACCAACCAAUGCUUAGAUAAUAUGGGACGAAAGGAAAAUGAAAAAGUGGGCAUAUUCAACUGCCAUGGCAUGGGAGGAAACCAGGUAUUUUCCUACACUGCUGACAAGGAGAUUCGCACAGAUGAUUUAUGUUUGGAUGUCUCUAGGCUCAAUGGUCCUGUGAUUAUGCUGAAGUGUCACCACAUGAGAGGAAAUCAGCUUUGGGAGUAUGAUGCCGAGAGAUUUACCUUGCGACAUGUUAACAGUAACCAGUGUCUUGAUGAGCCAUCAGAAGAGGACAAAAUGGUUCCUACCAUGAAGGAUUGCAACGAAAGCCGAUCCCAGCAGUGGCUGCUACGAAACAUGACCUUGGGUGCCUAAAGCCAAGAGGGACUCGCUGUGCUUCCUCAGGCCUUGUAAGGUUCUAGACCUUUCGCACUUCACACCUUUAGACUGGACGAAAGGAUAUUCCUUCUCCUUUGGUGUUGGUGAAGUGAAAGGUUUUGAAUGCUCGGUUAAAAGCCCAUCUGUCUGAAAAAAACAAAGCGAAACAUUUUUUAUUGCUUAAAGCAUGUUUGCACUUUUCCCCUUGGAUUUUUUUAGUCAUUCAGCUAAACACAAAAGUGCUCUCUAGAACAUGACACACACUAUUAUCAAGACAUGAUAUUCUUGAGGAAAUCAAAUUCAUGAAAAACAUUACAAAGCGACACUCCAAGGUUAGGGGGGUGGGGAUUGGCUUGUUGUUGAUUAUGUCACGUUAUGUUGCUUGAAAGUGACAAUGUUAAAUGCCUUACGAAACUCAUUUGCAUUGUGAAAGGUUGUACCAUUUUGUUUUAUCAAAGCUGAGGUGCUUGUACUGGUCCUUCAUGGUGAACAUUUGGGAUAACAUUUGAUUUUAAUCUGCAGUGAUCAUAACAUUUGAUUUUAAUCUGGUGCCAGCCAUAACCAGGGAGUGUUCAACUGAAAGGGUUUCUGAGCAGUAAAUUUACUGUAUAUAAUGGAUGUUUUUCAUGUAUAGUGCCAAUAAAAAGGUGACAUUGCUGUUCAUGAAAACUCCUUGUAAAACCAAGUAAAGUGAUUUAGUGAAUGGAACAUAAAGCAAUUGAAAUUGUAGCAAAAUGCAACACAAUGAUGUUGAAUUUAUAACACAAAGAGAACCCAUAUACCCUUGGUAAGAAUAUACGCCAUUGUGAAGCUUGGUAAUGCCUCUGGCCAAUAUUUGUGUUUUGUAAGUGACACAAAUAUAAGUGAUAACAGAACUUAACCAUCUGAAUCAAAGGGCAGAACAGCCUAUGCUUACGCAAGUAUGCAUUUUACACUCAAGGGUGGAUUAAGCUUUUUGCUGCCCAUAGGCAAAAAGGCUUUUGUUGCCCUUUUACCUUAAACAGAAAAGGUUUGCCUUUUUAAAAAAUAAGGUUAAAGGGGGCGGGAACAUUCUCUUCACCCACUCCACCCUUGCUGCAGCAGCCGCUGCCCACAGAAAGGGGCGACAAAAUUUAACUGGCAAAAUUUGCUUCUCCUUAAAUUUUUUCACCAUAGGCAAAUGCCUACUCUGCCUCGCCAUUAAUCCACCACCAUUUACACUGGAGACUUUACCUGUGUUUGUUGUUAAUGCAAACUCCCUUUUCUGUACAUUAUUAUACUCUUUCAAAAGAUUGCUCUUGGUUUUGUAAGCAUAUGUAAGAGAUGGUCCAUAAUUAUAGUCAUCAUCUCAACUAGUAGAAUAAGUCUUAAACACUUAAUAAGUUCAGCAGUUCUACAUAUGACAACAAUAGACGUGGGACUAAUUAGAAACCCUAUCUGAUAUGCUGAUGAUCUGCAACACAGCUACUUUGGGAGCUAUGUUUGUCCAAGAGGCAAGGUAAAAGUAUAAAUAAUACAGGUGGUCCUCAUCCCCCGCACUUCCGGCAACCUUGGUUUCGCGUAUCUGUGGAUGGGUCUUAGAGACUCAGUUUCUUUAUCCAUGGUGCAAAAAUAGGCUAACAUUUGCCUAUUAGCAGUGGAGGAGUGGCUAGAAAUGACUUCUGGUGUCACUUCCGGCCAGCAUUUUCGAGCACAGAGCCAUUUUGAGGCUCUUUCUUUAAAAAAACAAACAUGUUUUCACCUAAAAUCCGGCUGAUUUGGGGAAUUUCAGGAGCAUUUCUGGAGCCCUGUAGUCCUGGAGAGCAAGUUACUGUGCCGUUCUAAUCUUAUUUCUUCCCUCAUCUUUCUCACUUAAAGAGCGGGGCAAAAGUAGAAAACAAACAUUUGGGGGUGAGAGAAGAAGGCAAAAAGUAAAAAAGCCAGGGCAAAAAGUGGGGAGAAAGGGCAAAAGGCAGAAAGAGAGACAGAAGGGAAAAAGCAGGGAUUGCGUCUGCCCUCCCACCAAACAAGCAAGCUAGUAAAAGAUCAGACUUACCAGCAGCCAGGGAAUCCUUCAGAGCAGGGGGCUUCCUCCAGCCCUUUCUCCUCUGCCUGCAACUUCCUCUUUUGGUCUUUAUGACUGGAACAGCUACUACUCAAGCUGCUGAUUCCCAGGGGACUCCUCCUAGCACUGCCCCCAGGAAGAAGGAGAAAAUGUAUUUAAAAUAUACUCCCUGAAGCAACCAGGAAGUGCAUUUUAACUCAUUAUUUUAUUUCUCCUUGGGGGCAGUACCAGGAGGAGCCCCCUAGGAAUCAGAUUGGCUGGAGCCACUUGAGUAGCAGGUGUUCCAGCCACUAAGACCCAAACAAGAAGUUACAGGCAGAGGAGGAGUGGCUGGAAGAAACUCCCUGCUCUGAAGGCUGCUGCUGAUAAACAGCCUGCUGCUAUUACUGUACAGCAUAUGGACACAUCUGGUGAGAUUACACCACAUCUAAACUGCUACUAAAUAUAAGCUACUGUUUGAUCUCGAGGUGUUGAAUGAACACCAGCAAUGUGUUUUGAAAUAGGUUACGUGAACUAUUAGUGUAAAAGUGUUGGUUUUCAAACAUUCAGAUAUACUUCUGAAAUUCCAGUCUCAUUGUUUCAGAUAUGUCGAUGUCCCCAUUUGCCCCUUAGUCAGGAUGUGAUCAGGACAGCUGGAGUAGUCUGUUUCCUUGCAAACAAGGCCACUCUCAAUUAGGGUUCCAGCCCCAUCUUGACCAUUUCACAGGUUAUUACAUGGCGGUCAAUCCAACUUUGGCUCAAGUUUACACUCGGAGGGAGUCAUAGCCAAUCCCAGCUUCCUAUUGUGUAUAUUUGUGUGAUACACAUGUUUGCAAACAUUUAUGGAAAACGUCUGAAGUGUACACCUUAAACUGGUGUAAUGUAUGAUGCGGCCAUUGAAAAUGACAACUGUGGACUUUGCUGUGUAUUUUAUUUCCCCCGUCACAAAAGGCUGUGUUUGGGAAUUGCUUAUAAAGCUUCCUGGAGGAGUACUUGGGACACACAUACAUAUUACGCUUAUAAGAAUGGGCUGUGGAUUAAAAAAAAUUACACCAUUUUAAAUGUUGUAACAGUUAUUAAAUGUUAACUCUGCUGUAAAUUUUAAAUAUUUAUACAUUUUGUAGAAAUAAAAUAUGCCAGUUUAGUUUUA
Hemicordylus capensis (graceful crag lizard) is the source of this 5289-nucleotide RNA transcript. It is a transcript of the gene named polypeptide N-acetylgalactosaminyltransferase 13, with no coding region annotated. The record is from RefSeq and is a predicted model, not a curated record. NCBI's taxonomy places the organism in Eukaryota, Metazoa, Chordata, Lepidosauria, Squamata, Cordylidae. The transcript has 14 exons.